UAGACAUUUAUUUUGUUUAUUUUUAUGUGGUGCUGAGGAUUGAACCCAGUGCCUCACACAUACUAGGCAAGUGCUUUACCACUGAGCCACAACCCCAGCCCUGAUAUUUCCCCUUUUAAGCCUGAAAGGUUCCUAUAAACCUGUGAUCUCCAUAUUUGUGUCUUCAGAAUUUCGUGGCACAGUGUAUGGGUCUGCCUUUGAAUUUCUAGAAACCAGAAACUGGAAGUUCUUGGAUGCCUCCCUUCCCCUUUUAUAUUCAAUCCAUAUGAGUCCUUGGAUUUUACCACAUGAAUAUCUCUUGAAUCUCUAUUUAUAGAGUCAUUAUUCAUUAGAUUUUCACAGUGACCAUAUCAUGUAACCCAAUACCCAGGUCAAGAAAUAGAACAUUUUCAGAACCUUAGAAGCUCAUGUACCAUGAGUACAUUUUCUCUUUAAAGUGAAAAUAUACUCAUGGUUAAAGAUUUUCAGUUGCUUCACAUUGCCCUUAGGGUAAAGACCAAUCAUAAUAUGAUAUGCAAGACCCUGAGUGAUAUCACUCUGUUUUUUGUAACCAACCUCAUGUUUUACUACUCUUCUCACUUUCUAUAUUAUAGCCCUUCUGGCCAACUUACAAUUCUUUAAAUGUGCUACGCUCUUCGCUUUUCCUGAAAAAUUCUGUGUGCACACACCUUUCCAUACUCAUCUUUCACAUUUGGGUGCUUCAUCAAAUUCUUUGGAUGUAACAGGUUGAUGAGGCCCAAAUACACCUUGUGUGCUCUCAUGGGUUUUUAUCUUUAUUCAUUUGUAUAUGAUUAUUUCCCUCCAUUAUUUUUAAGUUUUAUAAGUCAGGAAUUAUUCCUAUUUUGCUUACUGUUGCAUAGUUACCAACUAGUAUGAUGGCUGGGAAAGAAUGCUGUUUAGUAUCCAUUCAAUAAAUCAAUACAAGUUGUUCCAGCUUUUUGUGGGCUGAAUUGUGUCCUCUUAAAUUCAUAUACUGAAUUUAAGUCUGAAUUUCUAAUGCUUAGGUUGUCACUAUAUUUGGAGAUAAUGCCUUGAAGAGGUAAUCAGGGUAAAAUGGGUGGGCCCCAAUCAAUAUGAGUGGUGUCCUUGUAAGAGGAGAAGACUAAGACACAUACAAAGUGAUGACCAUGUGAAGACACUGGAGGAAGAUGGCCAUCUACAAGCCAAGAAGAGGGGCUUUGGAAGGAACUAACCCUGCCAACACCUUCAUCUUGGACUUCAAGCCUUCAGAAGUGUGAGAAAAUAAAUUUCUGUUGUUUAAGCCACCUAGACUGUGAUAGUUUGUUAUGGCAACCUGCUGUGUUUUGAAUGUGUUCGCCUCAAAUUUUUGUGUUGGAAGCCUGCUCCCUUAAUUUAUGUUAUUGGUCUAGUGGUGGUGGGGGCCUUUGGGAGGAGGUGGUUUGGAUUAGAUAAAGUUAUGGAACAGGACCCCUACUAUGGCAUUAGUGGCUUUGCAAGAGCAAAGCUAACACAUUGCACUGUCUUGCCAUGUGUUGCAGCAUGUUAUAAAGCAAAAAGAC
This 1520-nucleotide long non-coding RNA is filed under the name Marmota monax (woodchuck). The record is from RNAcentral. Lineage: Eukaryota; Metazoa; Chordata; Mammalia; Rodentia; Sciuridae.